Rana temporaria (common frog) is the source of this 793-nucleotide long non-coding RNA. RefSeq lists it as uncharacterized. NCBI's taxonomy places the organism in Eukaryota, Metazoa, Chordata, Amphibia, Anura, Ranidae. The record is from RefSeq and is a predicted model, not a curated record. The transcript is spliced from 3 exons.
UUGGUUGAAAGUGAAACAUAGGCGGGACGUGGGAUGGCAAAUUGAACUCCAUCCACGGAGCGAUCUCCCGGAGCAGCAUGGAGUUCCUGUACACCCUUCUCCGAGGAGUUUCUGAUUCAGUUUUUGGCAUCAUAACACCACUAUUGGCUGUGGUGAUUAUCUUCCUUCUGUGGUGGGUGAAUUGCAAAAAGAAAAAGGCUCUUCCUCUGAGUAUCAUGGAGGUUGGACAUGGACAACCCAUCCACAGAGUCCACCACCAGUGAGAACCGAUCUAUGCCUAGAGUGGAGGAUGGGACUGUGGCCGGCGCUGGGAUUGGAUCCUUCUAUUCCGGUUCAAGAGAAAGAAGCCACUCAGCACAUACAGAUCCUCUUUAGAAGUCACCCGGUCCCCUCAUCCCUGUUACAUACUUACCAUGCCAGCUGGGGAUGUGCAAUAUUACCGUCUACUUUUUAAAAAAAAUAUAUGAAUAUUUAUUCUUUUAAUUUUACUUUUUGUAUCCACGAAUAGGUCAAGCCAGACUUUACAGUGUAUCUAAAGCCAAACAUUUGUUAGAUUUGGAUGGGACAUCACCACUCGGAUAUUCUUGCCAGCUGCCCCCACCCGGGGUGAUUAUAUUUUCUAGCUGUGUCCCCACUGGGGUGAUUAUAUGUCCUGGUGCUCAUUCCCAAAAAAGUGAUGGGAGAAUAUAUACUGUCUCGGGGGCAACGCCGCAGCCGCCCCCGAGACUCUGGAGGGACGAUUUUACAUUGCCCUCUAUGGAGAUGGUUCACAUCUCCACCCUGAACGCCGUAC